This is a long non-coding RNA of Chiroxiphia lanceolata (lance-tailed manakin), 562 nucleotides long. RefSeq lists it as uncharacterized. The transcript has 4 exons. NCBI's taxonomy places the organism in Eukaryota, Metazoa, Chordata, Aves, Passeriformes, Pipridae. The record is from RefSeq and is a predicted model, not a curated record.
UCUAAUGUCAAGUGAAGAGCAGCUUCCAUGGAAGGUGUGCAUAGAAUUUGGGGAUCAUUUCACACCUCUGAAUGUGAUGGACAUUGCAGUAAGGACUAAACACAUUCUGGUGAUCAAACCCAAAGUAGGAAACAACUACUCAGGGAAAGUGAAGUGUCUCUGAAAACAUCUGGCAGGGCAAGAGGAAGCACCAGGGAUGCAAGAAGGAGAGGCAUCCAGCACUGGACACAGUCCUACCUGGAAAACUGUAGGACAGUGGAAAGGAGGCAGCAGCAAACUGGGUAGUUUAUUUAGUCCCUGAGGCUGCAGUGGGCUUCCACAGGACGAUGUCGAUUUUGGAAGCCUGACUCUGUGAAGUGGUGUAUGUCUCCCAUAACAACACUUUUUGUUGAAAAGGUGAGAUCCUCAGAGCCAGAGAACCACAGGAGCAGUCAGGGCUCUGAGUGCCCUUUGCUCAUGGCCAAACUUCAGACAGCCAAAGGCACCUGGAGAUCCUUUGAAAACAUGGAUAUAAAGUCUGUCAUGGAUAAGCCAGUGUGUGUCAGUCAAACCCAUCAGCAGG